Molecule: long non-coding RNA, 1559 nt
Filed under: Homo sapiens (human)
Lineage: Eukaryota; Metazoa; Chordata; Mammalia; Primates; Hominidae
Description: HSALNT0299576
Source: RNAcentral
CGACCUCGGCACACCUGUCCACCUGUCCAUCUGCCCACCUCAUGCUGCAGCGCUGGAAUUCACACCAAUGAACCAGUAAGGCAGAGAAGCUUCCUGCAGGAUCUCCCGACCUAGGCACACCUGUCCACCUGUCCAUCUGCCCACCUCAUGCUGCAGCACUGGAAUUCACACCAAUGUGCAAACAGUUGGCAUCACUUUGAAGCCACUCCAAGGUGGCAUCUGCACUUAAUAACAAACACCCUGCAAAAACCGCUGUGCAGCCGUGGGCCUAAGGCUCACUGAUGCAUCUUCCAAUUCAACAUGGCUUCUUGCCUCUGAAAGGAGAGCUAGUCCCUCCUGGAAUUUGUAAGUGUGAAGGCUGUGUUUCAGCUGUCACGUCUGGUGUAUCACUGAUGCCUAUUCCUGUGGCCUUUCCAGUUUCCCAGGGUGAUGCAAAUGAACACCGUGCAGCAGGGAUAUGGAAUGUCAUUCUGGAAGUAGGUGAUAAUUAUGUUCGGUGGCUUGAGAUUGGCAUGAUCUCCGGGAUACGAGUCUGCAGGCCACAUCAGCCAGUCACGUGUGUGGGCAACUCACUUUACCUCGGUGGACCUUUUUCUCUCCCAGAAAACCAUAAGGAUGGAUUGAAGGACUAAAGUCCAACAGUUAAAACUGUUCCUUUUAAUUCUAAAAUCCUCUGAGUGUAUGAACUGCUUCACCUUUGCAUAGAGGACAAGCUUGUGCUCAGGAGGGCCUGAAUUAUUUCAGUUCCCUGAAUGUGCUGGCCCUCCUCAUGCAGGAGCUGCCCCAGGGUUUGUAAACCUUCCCCUACUACCAGGCACCACCACUGCUAUCUGAUGGCCGCACAAAGGAAUGAGUGAACACCGUCAGGAAGACAUUGGUCCUGUGCUCUACGAGAGGGUGUGCCCAACCACCACUGUCCUCUCAGCAUCCUCCAUUGUGACCAACGUCACCAGGGCUGCCCGAGGAAACCCUAAGAGAGGGAGGGGUAUUUUCCGUGAAAACACACCUGGAUGCAGGUCUAGGAAACCAACCCCUGGUCAGAGUAGCCCAAGAGAGAACAGGCCCAUGCCCAGUGCUUUGGUGCAAGCACAGCAGCUGGCCUGAAGAUAAGAGUUAAAUGAAUCCAGCCCCCUGAAAGGAAGGUUGUCUAUGCUACAGAAUCAAAUCAGGAAGAAAGGAAGCUAUUCUCUCACCUAAGGGCAUUGAGAAAGGUACAUGAAUAGUAAUUAUCUAAAAAGAGAUAAUCAACAAGGAGUCAGAAGGGCAAAACCCUGUCUAACUAAUCUACUUCACCUUUACAGCAAGGCUGAAGACUAGGUGGGCAACAGCGCUGCAUGUCAAAGGGUUUACUGUGAUUUCACAAAGCUCCAUAGAAAGCCUCCAAAUGAAGACUGGCAGGCUGGGAAAGUCUCUGAAACCAUGAAGAAAAGGGACUAGUGGAGGAGCUGCCCUCAAGAGAAAGGCAAGAUGUUGAGUUUAGAUGGCCUCAGAAUAUUAAGCACCUAACCUGCUCUGUCAUUUAGGUUAAUUCAUGGAGCCCUAUAUAUAUAUAUAUAUAU